UUGAAAGAAGUAUAAGAAAUAUAAUAAUACAAGUAAUUUAAAUCUUUAACUAUAAUAACACUUAAUUAUUUUUAUCAUGGGAAAUCUUUGUCUCUCUUGUUGCAAACAAUCAUCUUCAUGUGAAGAUUUAACGCCAGACUUGGAAACUAGAAGAAGAAAACAAAUGGAAGCUGCAGAAAAAAGAAUUGCUGAACAACAAAAUCGAGGAAUUAAAAAUAUUGAGGCUGUUAAAAGACAAGAAAGGUUAGAUCAAUUACGUGAAAAACGUCAAGAAGAAGUCGGUAACAAAAAUGUACAAAGUAAUUUAAAGUGGCAAAUGAAUUAAUGGGACAUUUUAAUGGAAAUUAAUUAUUUGCUGUACCUAUAAAUUUAUUUUAAGAAAUAUACAAUUAUUUAAUUUAAGAUCAUAGAUAAUAUAUAUAUAUAUAUAUAAAAUAAUGUACAAAAAUUGUAUGCUAUAUGAUACUAUUUCUUAAUAGAAAUUAAAUGAUGUCGCAGAUCUGCAUUUUGCAAAAUUUAAAUAUUUAGAGAUAUACACAUUUACUUAUGUGUAUAUCUGUUUUUAUAUUAUGUUUUCUAUAGUGCCUUAAAUAUUUAUAUAAAUUAUACCAUUUUAUAUGAUACAUAAUUAACAAUAUAAUUGUAAUGUCACUAAUUAUAAGUCAUAAAAUAUUAUUGUUAUAUAUUAUAAUUUUUGUUUAAAAUUCUAUUAAUAUUUUUUAUUAUAAUAUAUUUUAAUAUUAGAAAUAUAUAGGUAUAAUAUUGUUAUAAUCAAAUUCAUUAUAUUUUGUUGUAUUGUUGUUAAAUACUUUUAUUAAAAUAUAUUUAUAUAUGAUAUUUAAUAAUAUAUUAAUUUAAUUAAUUAAAUAUUGAAUUUAAAUAUUGAAAAUUCUCUUAUUUUUGUUUAACAAAAUAUAUUUAUAAAAUACAAGGCUAGUGCAUGCACAUGUGAUAUAAAGCUAAUUUAUUUACUAUAAUACAAAAAAUUCAAAAUCAAAAAUAUGUAAAGUAUACAUAUAUGUAUACAUAUAAUUAUGUUUUUGAUUAAAUAAUUGAAAAUAAAAAUAAAAAAAUUUAUAUAUAAAAAAACAAAAUUUAUAAAACGAUAUAAUUGUUAAUUUAAAAAUAUAUUGAGUUAUACAAUUAUUAAUAAUAAAAUUUUCAAUAUUUUAUUGAAAAAAGAAUUAAAUAUACUAUUUAUUUAAGAAAAAAUAUUAGUUUUAAAUUUUACAAAUAUUAAACAUAAGAAAGUCUUUAUUAGAUAUUAUUUAAUUUAUAAUUUAAGAAAAUUAUCUUUCAUAAAUUUUUUUCAUAAAUCAUUUUACAAUGAAAAGUGAAAUAUCUUAUAUGUAUUUUAUUAUCAAAUAUUACAAUUUUUAUGUGAGAUAAUAUUAAUAAAUUUAUUUAUGCAUAUAAAUAAAUAUGUAUAUAUGUACAUGUAAUAAAAUAUGUAAAAUAUAAAA
Molecule: RNA transcript, 1463 nt
Organism: Apis cerana (Asiatic honeybee)
Lineage: Eukaryota; Metazoa; Arthropoda; Insecta; Hymenoptera; Apidae
Gene: Svip
Gene name: small VCP interacting protein
Source: RefSeq, a predicted model, not a curated record